GAUGAACGCUAGCGGCAGGCCUAACACAUGCAAGUCGAGGGAGAAGCCCUUCGGGGCAGAAACCGGCGCACGGGUGCGUAACGCGUAUGCAACCUACCUUUCACAGGGGGAUAGCCCGAAGAAAUUUGGAUUAAUACCCCAUAAUAUUAUUGGAUGGCAUCAUUUGAUAAUUAAAAUUACGAUGGUGAAUGAUGGGCAUGCGUCCUAUUAGCUAGUUGGAGUGGUAACGGCACCCCAAGGCUACGAUAGGUAGGGGUCCUGAGAGGGAGAUCCCCCACACUGGUACUGAGACAGGGACCAGACUCCUACGGGAGGCAGCAGUGAGGAAUAUUGGUCAAUGGUCGGAAGACUGAACCAGCCAUGCCGCGUGCAGGAAGAAUGCCUUAUGGGUUGUAAAUUGCUUUUAUAUGGGAAGAAUAAGGAGUACGCGUACUUUGAUGACGUACCAUAUGAAUAAGC
Molecule: ribosomal RNA, 459 nt
Filed under: Capnocytophaga granulosa
Lineage: Bacteria; Pseudomonadati; Bacteroidota; Flavobacteriia; Flavobacteriales; Flavobacteriaceae
Description: bacterial SSU rRNA
Rfam family: Bacterial small subunit ribosomal RNA
Source: RNAcentral